GUAUGCCAUGGGCUCGUACUUCCAUGCCUUCAAGGAAGCUCGGGCAUUUUUGAGAUCGAAGCCCGAUGCUAGUCCCGAGGAUCUAAAGAAUAUCCCCGAGAUUGCUGAUACUCUCGAGCUGUCAGAGUCCGAGGACGCGGUGGAGGAGCAGGGGAGCACAGCCUCGGGAGAAAGGGCCGAGGACUUAGAUUAGUUUUUGUUUGUUUUUUGUAUGAUGAUGGCCCUUCUGUUUUGUAAUUUGAACAUGUAUUUUACUCGAUGAAGUAUUUUUCUUUUGCUGUGUUAAUGUAUCUCGAUCAUUCAAAUAGCCCGAGGUUAGAUGGUUUCUCGACGCCUAGAGUAGUGAAACACCUCGAGGACAUAAUUCGUGAAAACAUUUUCUGAAUAUUAUAACGAACACAAAUUCAUCCCGAGGACUCAAACUGUAAAAUAUUUGGGAACAUCAUUGUUGACCCCGAGCAUUAAACAAGUUACCUCGACGAGUAAAGAAGAUUAAUCAUUUUCAACGACUAAUUAAUCAUCUCGACGAUUGAGAAUAACUCAAUUGUUAAACAAGUGAUAAUGCCGAGGACAGUAUAGUUUUCUACACACUUAACACUCGACGAUUAAGUUCAAGGGAUGGUCGUCCCCGAGGAGUAGGGAUAAUUUGUGACCGACCUAUGCACAUGAGUUUAUCCCGAGCUUUUAUUUUCAGGCUUGGACAAAAGUACAAGGAUAUAUGGUCGGGAUAUAUGUCCUCGGUGUUUAUACUUGUGCUGCACUAUUUUGAUGUGCUGAUUAUGAGCUCCAAGAUUUUGGUGUUUGCUCGAGGCAAGGCUUGCUCGAGGGCAAGGCUUAAAAGGGGCUUGCUCGAGGCCAAGGCAUACAUUGGCUUGUCAAAGACAAGGCUUAAAAGGGGCUUGCUCGAGGGCAAGGUUUAAAUUGGCUUGUCAAGGACAAGGCUUAAAAGGGGCUUGCUCGAGGGCAAGGUUUAAAUUGGCUUGUCAAGUACAAGGCUUAAAAGGGGCUUGCUCGAGGGCAAGGCUUAAAGGGGCUUGCUCGAGGGCAAGGCUUAAAUUGGCUUGCUCGAGGGCAAGGCUUAAAUUGGCUCGUCAAAGACAAGGCUUAAAGGGGCUUGCUCGAGGGCAAGGCUUAAAUUGGCUCGUCAAAGACAAGGCUUAAAAGGGGCUUGCUCGAGGGCAAGGCUUAAAGGGGCUUGCUCAAGGGCAAGGCUUAAAUUGGCUUGCUCGAGGGCAAGGCUUAAAUUGGCUCGUCAAAGACAAGGCUUAAAGGGGCUGUUAUACCCGAGGUUUGGAUUUAUUAAUUGUUCGGACUGGACUUGGAUUUAUAUUACAUCCAAGCUGCCUACGUACCCAAACGGGAUCAAGCCGAACGUAGUUCAUUACAAAAGAGAACGGAAAACAUGCAUGGGCACGCAGGCCCGCUAAACUAGAAAUAAAAUGCAGGAAAAGAAAAUCUCCUUAAAGGCGUCGGGAAUUUUACUUGUAAUAUAUUUUCA
This 1498-nucleotide long non-coding RNA is filed under the name Olea europaea subsp. europaea. Lineage: Eukaryota; Viridiplantae; Streptophyta; Magnoliopsida; Lamiales; Oleaceae. The record is from RNAcentral.